CCUGUGUGAUGACAAAGUAAAGACUGACUAAACCGUGGAGUCAUUUAUAUUAGCUCUAGCUGACC
Small nucleolar RNA from Scatophagus argus, 65 nucleotides. RefSeq annotates it as small nucleolar RNA SNORD44. The transcript has a single exon. Lineage: Eukaryota; Metazoa; Chordata; Actinopteri; Scatophagidae. The record is from RefSeq and is a predicted model, not a curated record.